This 213-nucleotide long non-coding RNA is filed under the name Setaria italica (foxtail millet). Its description in RNAcentral is "long non-coding RNA (SITA_LNC000943)". Lineage: Eukaryota; Viridiplantae; Streptophyta; Magnoliopsida; Poales; Poaceae. The record is from RNAcentral.
UAAAUAUCAACAUCAUACCCACUUGAUUGGUCCAUCUCAUUGCGCAGCCGCUUCUUCCUCCUCCUUCCAACCUUGUUUUUCUUCUUGUCAUUGUCAGGAAUGUAGUCAUGGUCAUUGUACCCCGGCCAAUGCGUCUCAUCUAAAAUAGGCUCGAAACGGGACUCCCAUGUCUUCAAUACUGUAUUCUUAGAAUACAGUUGUGUCAUAUAUGCC